RNAcentral lists this ribosomal RNA (434 nucleotides) under uncultured Anaerolineaceae bacterium. RNAcentral describes it as "bacterial SSU rRNA". It matches the Rfam family "Bacterial small subunit ribosomal RNA", at positions 933 to 1382 of the family's 1533-position model. Lineage: Bacteria; Bacillati; Chloroflexota; Anaerolineae; Anaerolineales; Anaerolineaceae. The record is from RNAcentral.
CGGAGUCGUGUGGUUUAAUUCGUUGCUACACGAAGAACCUUACCUGGGUUUGACAUAUAGGUUGUAGGGAACUGAAAGGGACCGACCCUUCGGGAGCCUAUACAGGUGUUGCAUGGCUGUCGUCAGCUCGUGUCGUGAGAUGUUCGGUUAAGUCCGCUAACGAGCGCAACCCUCGUCGUAUGUUAUAUGUGUCAUACGAGACUGCCGGUAAAAGCCGGAGGAAGGUGAGGAUGAUGUCAAGUCAGCAUGACCUUUAUAUCCAGGGCUACACACACGCUACAAUGGUCUGUACAAUGGGUAGCCAAGCCGCGAGGCGGAGCCAAUCCUGAAAGCAGGCCUCAGUUCAGAUUGCAGUCUGCAACUCGACUGCAUGAAGCCGGAGUUGCUAGUAACCGCAGGUCAGCAAUACUGCGGUGAAUACGUUCCCGGGUCUU